RNAcentral lists this non-coding RNA (246 nucleotides) under Chlorobium chlorochromatii. Lineage: Bacteria; Pseudomonadati; Chlorobiota; Chlorobiia; Chlorobiales; Chlorobiaceae. The record is from RNAcentral.
GUUCUUUUACUUGUAACUGGUGUCGGUUUAAAAGCCGAAGAAUAGGGAAGUACGUGAAAGUCGUACACUGUACCCGCAACUGUACAACGGUUCGCUGCUUGCUUGCUUUUGCAUUGCCCAAUGCUUGAGUAACAGCAGUCUUUGUGAGUCACUGCAACGUUUCGCCUCAUUGAAACUUGUGGGAAGGCUUGUAAAGCUUUGGAAUGCCGUAAUAGUCAGGAGACCUGCCAGUUAUUUUGCUCUCAA